RNAcentral lists this ribosomal RNA (254 nucleotides) under uncultured bacterium. Its description in RNAcentral is "partial 16S ribosomal RNA". It matches the Rfam family "Bacterial small subunit ribosomal RNA", at positions 524 to 776 of the family's 1533-position model. The record is from RNAcentral.
UACGAAGGGGGGCUAGCGUUGCUCGGAAUCACUGGGCGUAAAGCGCACGUAGGCGGACUCUUAAGUCGGUGGUGAAAUCCUGGAGCUCAACUCCAGAACUGCCUUCGAUACUGAGAGUCUUGAGUCCGAGAGAGGUGAGUGGAACUGCGAGUGUAGAGGUGAAAUUCGUAGAUAUUCGCAAGAACACCGAUGGCGAAGGCACUUUACUGGGCUAUUACUAACACUCAGAGACGAAAGCUAGGGUAGCAAAUGGG